UAGGGAAUCUUCGGCAAUGGGGGGAACCCUGACCGAGCAACGCCGCGUGAGUGAAGAAGGUUUUCGGAUCGUAAAGCUCUGUUGUUAAGGAAGAACGAGUGUGAGAAUGGAAAGUUCAUGCUGUGACGGUACUUAACCAGAAAGGGACGGCUAACUACGUGCCAGCAGCCGCGGUAAUACGUAGGUCCCGAGCGUUGUCCGGAUUUAUUGGGCGUAAAGCGAGCGCAGGCGGUUAGAAAAGUCUGAAGUGAAAGGCAGGGGCUCAACCAUUGUAGGCUUUGGAAACUGUUUAACUUGAGUGCAGAAGGGGAGAGUGGAUUUCCAGGUGUAGCGGUGAAAUGCGUAGAUAUAUGGAGGAACACAGGUGGCGAAGGCGGCUCUCUGGUCGGUAACUGACGCUGAGGCUCGAAAGCGUGGGGAGCGAACAGG
Molecule: ribosomal RNA, 429 nt
Filed under: Bacteroidota bacterium
Lineage: Bacteria; Pseudomonadati; Bacteroidota
Description: Bacteroidetes bacterium partial 16S ribosomal RNA
Rfam family: Bacterial small subunit ribosomal RNA
Source: RNAcentral